This 253-nucleotide ribosomal RNA is filed under the name uncultured bacterium. RNAcentral's name for it is "partial 16S ribosomal RNA". It matches the Rfam family "Bacterial small subunit ribosomal RNA", at positions 524 to 776 of the family's 1533-position model. The record is from RNAcentral.
UACGUAGGGGGCCAGCGUUGUCCGGAAUCAUUGGGCGUAAAGAGCGCGUAGGCGGCCAGAUAAGUCUGGUGUGAAAGUCAAAGGCUCAACCUUUGAAUGCCGCUGGAAACUGUCUGGCUAGAGUCCGGGAGGGGCGAGUGGAAUUCCUGGUGUAGCGGUGAAAUGCGCAGAUAUCAGGAGGAUCACCAAUGGCGAAGGCAGCUCGCUGGAACGGUACUGACGCUGAGGCGCGAAAGCGCGGGGAGCGAACAGG